AGAGCAAAAUGGAUUCUAAAUGAUAACAAAGAGACAAUUAUGAUUUAUGCCCAUCGAAAAGCUUUUAUAAAAUUGGCGAAUUUAGAGAUGUUGGUUGGGGUGGUAAAUUAUAAUUCAGGAUUUGAACAGAUGUGAUAAAUUAGGUUUGGUUAAUCGAACAAGAAUUAUUUACAAUUCAUUUGAAGUCGCUACGAAUUGGCAGGUUGAGCGCUUGAUGAUGACGUCACUAGCGAGACACUUUUGUCACCAGGGACUGGGGAUAACGGAGCAAAUCGUAUGGCUAUUAGUGCACUUACACCCCCGGACUACAAAGGACCGGGACAGACACGAUGAGUGUGUUUUCUAUUAAGGUGCUGCCAAAACCAGAGGUCCCAGACGAACCAGGGCCAGACACACUCCUCUACCACCCCUGGACCGAACCUGCCACCACUGUGUUAAAAAUCCCAUUCAGGCCUUGUUUCCAGGACUCUGGAGAGAUCGAUGACACUCCAGAUGGUGCGUUAUGGGCCGAUUCCAGGUUCUGCUGAAGGCAUGUCUACAGAAGAAGUGGACGAAUCUGGAUCUGUCAUUUGUGGGGAAUUUAUGUUUGAUGGGGCUAGUAUAGAGAUGAAGGGGAAUUAGAUUGUAAUUUGUUUCCAUGAUUAAACUGUUUUUUAAUGAAGGUCGUGACGAAAAUCCAGAAGGAAGAGUUAUGAUUCUGAUGUAGGUUUAAAAACAGUUGGAGUUAAGGUUAGAUUUGAUUAAUGAUAUUUGGAGAGUUGGAUAAACAUUUAUAAUAAUGUUAAUUUGUUGAUUAUGUGUGUGUCUAUUCAUAUGAUAAUCGGAUAAACCUCUAUAAAAAGGUUAGUUAAAUUCGUUUAUACUUAUAUUUUUUAUGAUUAAAUAAAACUAGAUGUAGAUUUGAAUGUAUAAUAUUUGAUCAAAGGGAGGAUUGUUAGAGGAAAUUGUAGUUAAGAUGAUUAAUUAUGUAUACAUUAUUGAUUAGAACCAUUUAUUCUAAUACUAUUAUGUUAUGGUAUGAAUAGUAAAAGUUAUUGGUUAAGCUGUUACUGAAAAUGUAAGCAGAAUGAAUUAAUUGUCUGUGUCUCUUGGGAAGUCAAAAGGGGAGGGAUGCUAUGGCUUUUCAGACAGAUAAGAAAUGUCUGGGAAAGGUUCCAUUCCUAAAACAAUGGGUUCUUGUGAGAAUCGGAGAGAGGGCGGGAAACUGAUGAUGUCAUGUUCAGUUUAUAACCUGUGGAAAUGUGUGUAAGCAUUUAGUACUCUCUGGAACUAAACGCUCUUACCUGGCUUUUAAGACUGGUCUCAAUCUACUUCAUGCAUAAUUAAGGAACUUACAAUUCAUUAAUGAAUUAGAAAUGAGUGCGAAUUGGUUUUGGCAAUAAAACAUAAAGGAAUUUAGAAUUCCUCUAUCACUCACUUAACCACAGUUCUAUGAGCUAUGGACUAUGCUAGUCUAGCUGUUGGAUCUGUUGUAGCCUUGGGAAGAGUCUUGAGGAAGUGUAGCUACGCGCCCAGGUAUUUAUAGGGGAUGGGGCGCAUCACACCCGUGGCAUGGAAUUACUCUGAUAUUAAUAUCUUGACUCAUCCAGCCGCAAUGAUAACUAGCAUAGUCCCUAGCUCAUAGCACUGUGGUUACGUGAGUAACCUUUGUUCUUCAUCGACACAAUUAACCAAAACAAGGCCGCUUCUAGUCACCUUGAUUAAAUCCACCUUUCCCACUGAUCUUUUCACAGCCCUCAAUAUGACCAAAAUCUCCAAAAUGAAGCUCCCUGUCCUAGAAACGCAGUCCAACAAGAAAUUCAUUAUUGGACCGAUCCUUGUCUUCUACUACUUUUGCUUGUUUCGUUCCAUUCCUUGAUUUCACAAUUUUCCAUUAAUUGUCCCUGUUUAUUAACCUGUUUAGAUUUAAGCCAAAAAAAUUGCCAAAGGAGACCAACCAUGCAGUUUAUAAGGCUACAGUUUAAAUAAGUUAUGAUUAACUUCACAGAGUGGUGAAAGUGUACUGUGAUCUUGAUGUGCCUUUCCAAUAAAUAUUGAGGAUCUCA
Molecule: long non-coding RNA, 2045 nt
Organism: Oncorhynchus gorbuscha (pink salmon)
Lineage: Eukaryota; Metazoa; Chordata; Actinopteri; Salmoniformes; Salmonidae
Exons: 3
Source: RefSeq, a predicted model, not a curated record